This is a long non-coding RNA of Phyllopteryx taeniolatus (common seadragon), 2361 nucleotides long. RefSeq lists it as uncharacterized. The record is from RefSeq and is a predicted model, not a curated record. The transcript has 2 exons. NCBI's taxonomy places the organism in Eukaryota, Metazoa, Chordata, Actinopteri, Syngnathiformes, Syngnathidae.
UGUUGUGUGUGUUCCUGCCAACCUGUGCCAUCGUCCAACGAGACGUCGCCGAGAUCCCCCAUCCAGCCGGAUCAAGCCAACGAAGGGGGGAUAUGUAGCAGACACGCCAUUAAAAGAUGACACCCAGCACCCCAGUCUCGGGCUACCGCCGCUCUCCCCGCCGAGGUAGACGACCACGGAGUGGCGAGAUUCAACUUCGCACACAGACGCUAAGUGAAUUACAAGCCAGAAGCAUCAAAACGAGACAGACACCUGGUUUUGCACGCCGACGCUAAGUGAAUUACCACCACCAGGAGCAUCAAAGCGGAGAUAAAAGACACCUGGUUUGGCACCAGAACGCUAAAUUCAAUAACUUCCACCUCCCAGCCAGACCGGGAUAAUGGAUGGGGUACUAGCGACACCCACAGGCCGCGGAAUGCCACUGCAAACGCGGGUUCACUAACCACAGUCUUCACUGGGAUCUUAUAUUUUUAGAACUUUACAUGUGUAAACGGGUCAAUCUGUGUGUUUAAUGAAGCUGAUAUAUAAUUCCACAAAAUCUGUAACUGCCUGACAAGAAAAUGCCUCCCAAUUCUGUGUAAACUGUGUGUAUGUAGCUCGGUGCUCCUCCUCUGUAAUUUCUUCUUCUGUGGUCCCCACUAUAAAUGUUUUCUGCUGCCCUGCCUCUGUCCUUUUGUACAAUUUUCCUGUGGGAGAGGUGGGUGACCAUAUUUCAUUCAGUUGGUAACCCUGAACCAUCCUAAUGUUGCUCUUUGUUUAUUAUAUGCAUCUUUAGUUCAGUAUUAUUGUUAUGUCUUUUCCUGUCACAUAAUGGGUACAUGUCAGUUGCGUUUCGAAAUAGUAUUUUUAACAGUUGAAGAUCGCUGGCUUGACGUUGUGACAAGCUGAACUGACUUCCGGGUUGUCGAUGUCGUCAUAUGUACAGGAAGUCCUCGAUUUACGAACAAGUUCCGUUCCUACGCUGGCGACGUAACACGAAUUUCCGCAGUUUUAUGUUCCUACAGAGAAAAUGUCCUAAAAUGUAAUGUCUACAAGUUCUGCGGCAUGUUGCUACCACCUACUGGUCACAGUGUAUAUUGCCACUGAAUAGUCAGCAUGCAGCGUCACAUGAUCAGUGAAAAGGAAACUGCAGCCAGGGGACAAAGGCUGGUCGGUGAAAACAAGAAAAUGGACACUAAAGGAGUGUCACAACUCCUAAAUUUCUGGUCAGAAGGCGCACGUUUUUCACUGUGUUUACUGGUGUAAAGAAGAAAAAUGCUGGUCAAACUUCAGUUGGACCGUGGCUUAUCUGUACAAGAAGAAAACUUUGGCAGCAGUUAUAUCCAUCUUUCACCCAAAGUCAGCUGGAAUGGGCUACAACUCACAGGCGGUAUAGAAAAUUGACAUUGAUCAUUUAAUCCAAUUAGGAAAAUGAAAAUAUUCAAAUACAAGCCUAUGGACUCAUGCAACACCGGGAAAUUGUUUAUUGAUCAUUCCGAUGUCACAAGUGAAAUUUGAACAUUCCUUUAGGGAUUAAAAAUGGAGUAAAAACGAAACGAACAUAAGAAUGAUCUAAAUGUAAAAAAAUAAAGUUGCUCUAUAAGUGCUACAUUGUACACUAUUUUAACUUUGUGCAAUACUUUGUUUUUUUUAAAGAGGAAAUAUUUUUUCCAUGUUCAACCUAUAAUUCAUAUUGGCUUGUGCUCAGUUGUUGCUACUGUUAAUUUGAAUGUACAAUUGCUAUAUUACCAAAAAUGUUUAGUUUGUUUUGUCCGAUUGUUGCAUGUUCUUUCAUGUUAAUUUGAAUUUGGAACGGAAUGUGUACCAUUCUCAAAAGUCUUUGGAAUGACCGGAUGUCUGAAUGUAACAACCAUAAAAUAAUACGGAAAUAUACAGUAUAAACACGGUGUGAUUUCAAAAUUGAAGCAUCUUGUCACCCUUGGAUCGCUUUGUACAGCAAUAUAUACAGUUGAUAUGAAUUUCAGGAAUAAAAUAGGCUGAUCAGUAGUCUUCCGUGCUGCCUCAGUGGAACCAAGGGUGCUGUUGAAGCUGGGACAGAGUGGCACAGGCGUCAGGGUCUCUUUUCAGGCAUGCGCUCAGCAGGCUGCGAGGAAAAGUUGAAGAUGGCAACUUCAGUGGUCUACAAACUACAACAUGGAGUGAAACGCUGCUGACAGUAUCAUGGCCAGUACUGACUGGAUCCUUAAACUUACUAUGAGAGAGCCUUGCGUCGAUUUCCCGCCUGAGGAAGAACUCCUCCGGUUCGAAUGGAGCGCAAUGCAGAAUUUCGAAGAGCAGAGUCCCGAGCUGCCAAACUGUGGUGGGGUUGGCCUUGUACUCCCCACAUGCAGCAACUUCUGGAGGAGCCAAGUCAAUGGUUCC